RNAcentral lists this ribosomal RNA (497 nucleotides) under uncultured bacterium. Its description in RNAcentral is "partial 16S ribosomal RNA". It matches the Rfam family "Bacterial small subunit ribosomal RNA", at positions 28 to 507 of the family's 1533-position model. The record is from RNAcentral.
GAUGAACGCUGGCGGCGUGCCUAAUACAUGCAAGUCGAGCGAACAGACGAGGAGCUUGCUCCUCUGACGUUAGCGGCGGACGGGUGAGUAACACGUGGAUAACCUACCUAUAAGACUGGGAUAACUUCGGGAAACCGGAGCUAAUACCGGAUAAUAUAUUGAACCGCAUGGUUCAAUAGUGAAAGACGGUUUUGCUGUCACUUAUAGAUGGAUCCGCGCCGCAUUAGCUAGUUGGUAAGGUAACGGCUUACCAAGGCAACGAUGCGUAGCCGACCUGAGAGGGUGAUCGGCCACACUGGAACUGAGACACGGUCCAGACUCCUACGGGAGGCAGCAGUAGGGAAUCUUCCGCAAAGGGCGAAAGCCUGACGGAGUAACGCCGCGUGAGUGAUGAAGGUCUUCGGAUCGUAAAACUCUGUUAUUAGGGAAGAACAAAUGUGUAAGUAACUAUGCACGUCUUGACGGUACCUAAUCAGAAAGCCACGGCUAACUACGUG